AUGUAUUGCGCGCGCACUCCGGUUCCCUGCGCGCCGUCCACGGCUACCUGAUGGCCGCUCGCUAUGUGUUGUUAGCC
Molecule: small RNA, 77 nt
Filed under: Xanthomonas vasicola
Lineage: Bacteria; Pseudomonadati; Pseudomonadota; Gammaproteobacteria; Lysobacterales; Lysobacteraceae
Also listed under: 15 other names
Description: sX9 sRNA
Rfam family: Xanthomonas sRNA sX9
Source: RNAcentral